Molecule: ribosomal RNA, 488 nt
Filed under: Rana temporaria (common frog)
Lineage: Eukaryota; Metazoa; Chordata; Amphibia; Anura; Ranidae
Description: partial 12S ribosomal RNA
Rfam family: Bacterial small subunit ribosomal RNA
Source: RNAcentral
GCCGUAAACAAUUAACUCACAUCCACACCGCCAGGGAAUUACGAGCAAUGCUUAAAACCCAAAGGAUUUGACGGUGUCCCACCCCACUAGAGGAGCCUGUUCUAUAAUCGAUGAUCCCCGCUUCACCUAACCAUCCCUCGCCUACCAGUCUGUAUACCUCCGUCGAAAGCUUACCAUGUGAACGCCCGCAGUAAGCUUAAUGAUUUCACCAUCAACACGUCAGGUCAAGGUGCAGCUUAAGGGACGGAAAGUAAUGGGCUACAAUUUCUAAUCUAGAACAAACGAAAGACUAUGUGAAACCCUAGUCAUGAAGGUGGAUUUAGUAGUAAAAAAAAAAUAUAGUGUUCUUUUUAACCCGGCUCUGGGACGCGUACACACCGCCCGUCACCCUCUUCAAUAGUACCCCGUAUGUUCCUAACCCAACACCACGUUUUAGAAGAAGCAAGUCGUAACAUGGUGAGUGUACUGGAAAGUGCACUUGGUAUACU